AAACUUUCAACAAUGGAUCUCUUGUUUCGAGUAUUACUUCCGAACGCAGCGAAAUGCGAUAAGUAAUGUGAAUUGCAGAACUCAGCGAAUCAUCGAAUCUUUGAACGCACAUUGCGCCCCGGGGUAUUCCCCUGGGCAUGCCUGUUCGAGCGUCAUUU
RNAcentral lists this ribosomal RNA (158 nucleotides) under Telimena miravallensis. RNAcentral's name for it is "5.8S ribosomal RNA". It matches the Rfam family "5.8S ribosomal RNA". From Rfam's summary of the family: 5.8S ribosomal RNA (5.8S rRNA) is a component of the large subunit of the eukaryotic ribosome. Lineage: Eukaryota; Fungi; Ascomycota; Sordariomycetes; Phyllachorales; Telimenaceae. The record is from RNAcentral.